Long non-coding RNA from Canis lupus familiaris (dog), 2284 nucleotides. RefSeq lists it as uncharacterized. The record is from RefSeq and is a predicted model, not a curated record. Lineage: Eukaryota; Metazoa; Chordata; Mammalia; Carnivora; Canidae. The transcript has 5 exons.
AUGGUUGCCACGCGCAGCCCUUCGGGUGCUACUCUGCACGGCGGCGAGGACGGACGGACAAACGCAGCGGCACUCACCUGCCCGACGCCCACACUUCUCCGCGGCUCUAACGCAGCCCAGCGACUGGGGCCCAGCGAGAGCCAACCGCCACCGGAAGCGGAGUUAGAGACGCCUCGCUGCGAGCAUGCGCAAAGCCGCCCCCUCGCACACCUGCGCUCUCAGGCGGUGCGCAGACGCGGCCCCGCCCCUAACCCCUCCUCCCGCGGCGGAGGCGUCGCCUUCGGCGGCUCGACCCCGGAAGUGGCUGCGGGCCGCUGCCCUCCCUCGGGGUGGGUCCCGGUGGGGGAAUGCGGGACUCUAAGUGCCUCUGGAGACCGGGACGACGGGAUGAUGGACGAGGGGAGCAGUCAGAGGAGCGGAAUUGCACCGCACCGAGUGAUUCACGGAACCGGGGCCUUUAGAGUUUUGCUCGGCCUAAGGGUUACCUCCAGGAGUCGCUUUGAACCUACCAGGCAUAGCUUAGGAAGAUGUUACCUGCUCUGCUGAUUUAUACUAAAAGGGAAGUUUUUAGGGAAGGUAGUUGUCAAAAAAAAAGGUGUCCCUUUGGGGCGUCUGGGUGGCUUAGUCGGUUAAACGACUGCUUUCACUCAGGUCAUGAUCCUGGGGUCCUGGGAUCGAGCCCUAUGUUGGGCUCCCUGCUCAGCAGGAAGUUUGCUUCUCCCUCGCCCUCUACCCCUUCCCCUUCUCCUCCCCCCUCUCUCUGCACCCUCCCCCCUCUCUCUGCACCCUCCCCCAUCACCCCCUCCCCUACUUGUCUGUGUGCCAGCUGCCGUACUACUCUCGCGCUCUCUCUCAAAUAAAUCAAUAAAAUCUUUUAAAAAACAAAAAGGUCUCCUUUGUGACAGUCAUUAACUUACUGAGACUUUUGUACCAUUAACCAUCUGUGUUGGCUAAGAGCCAGAUACAUUGCUGUUUAAUUAUUUAAACAACACGAAUGGGUAACCUUUUAAUAUAUCAUUUGCUUUUUAAAGGAACACUCUGGUUUUAACAUUUGCCCCAAUUUCAUAGAUGAAGAAUCUAAGAUUCAGAAAAAUCAAUGACUUGCCUAAGGUCACACAAUUGGACCUCUGGUACCUAGGUUAGUGCUUUUGAUUACUUUCCUUGCCUCUGCUGUUGUCUUAGCAAGGAAGUAAUUCAUAUCUGAAAACUGUAAAUGGAUAAAGCCGAACAGUCUACACUGUGGAUAUUGAGUUCUACCCACCUCACCUUAGAAUCUGUUACACAUUUGUUUCAAAGCUCAAAUAUUUGACUUCUGUGAAUAUAGUGCCAAGGUAAAUUAGGCAUAACCGGAAACAGGAACUUAUAUAUCAGUCUGUAUACCAGUGGCAAUUUCAGAUGUUUGAGUUUCUUUCUUUGUACAGUAGAAAUUGGGAUAAUAUUUGUCAGGACUAGACAAAUAGUGCAUGCUGAUAGAUAUAGAACCUUGUAUAUGACUCACUCCCCGUACAACAUACCCUUUGACAUGACCUUGACAUGGCUUUUUGAUUGUCAAGAAGAAUUUAACCCUGCUGUCCAUGCCCAACACAGAACUCCAUCCUCCUUGGCUUUUGGAACCGGAUAUUUGCUUAAAUUCCACUUCAGUUAUAUGAUCACUUUACUUAAAAUCUGAUAGCUUUCUGUUUCUUACUCUAUUAAGUCUAAAUUCUUGUACUUGAUUUUCAAGGGCUUUAUAUAACCUGACUUAUUCUAGCUGCCUGAAUUUAUCUCCCACAACUCUUUACUAGAAUCAUUUCACUGUGGAGUUUCCACUCUGAAGAAUAUAAUAGAAUCCAGAGUCCUCCUGCACUCUUGAGGGUAGGAGCCAAGAUUGGGCCUCCUUUAGCACAGGUAUAACAAGUGGACCUAUCUCUCAGACACUGGCCACAAAGGAUGACGUUAGACACGAGAAGUCAGAAAUCUGGCAAGAGAGAAGAUCUCAGGGUGCCCAGCAGGAAAUGAUACCAUGCAGGCUGACCGGAUGGAGUAAAACAAAAAUGUGUUUCUUGCUCUUCUCACUAUAUUGUAACCAAUCAUAGUGUUUUCAUGUUUAACCUGACUUAUAACUCUUCAGUUACCUUUAAGGAUAACCAUAUUUUAUCUCUUUCUGCCAAUGAUUGCAAAUUACUUUUCCCCAUAUAAUUUUUUGACAACUUUCUUGAGUUGUAAAUGCUGUUUCAAACUAAAUAAAUAAAUAAAUAAAUAAAUAAAUAAAUAAAUAAAUAAAUAAAUAAAUUCUAUUUAAGUA